This 511-nucleotide ribosomal RNA is filed under the name uncultured bacterium. Its description in RNAcentral is "bacterial SSU rRNA". It matches the Rfam family "Bacterial small subunit ribosomal RNA", at positions 19 to 518 of the family's 1533-position model. The record is from RNAcentral.
CUGGCUCAGGAUGAACGCUAGCUACAGGCUUAACACAUGCAAGUCGAGGGGCAGCAUGAUCAAAGCUUGCUUUGAUUGAUGGCGACCGGCGCACGGGUGAGUAACGCGUAUCCAACCCUCCCCCUUAGUAGGGCAUAGCCCGUAGAAAUGCGGAUUAAUACCCUAUGUUGUUCAAUGCGGACAUCUAAGUUGAACCAAAGGUUUACCGCUAAGGGAUGGGGAUGCGUCCGAUUAGGCAGCAGGCGGGGUAACGGCCCACCUGGCCGACGAUCGGUAGGGGUUCUGAGAGGAAGGUCCCCCACAUUGGAACUGAGACACGGUCCAAACUCCUACGGGAGGCAGCAGUGAGGAAUAUUGGUCAAUGGGCGAGAGCCUGAACCAGCCAAGUAGCGUGCAGGAUGACGGCCCUAUGGGUUGUAAACUGCUUUUAUGCGGGGAUAAAGUGCGGCACGUGUGCCGUUUUGUAGGUACCGCAUGAAUAAGGACCGGCUAAUUCCGUGCCAGCCGCUGC